Long non-coding RNA from Colletes gigas, 297 nucleotides. RefSeq lists it as uncharacterized. The record is from RefSeq and is a predicted model, not a curated record. Lineage: Eukaryota; Metazoa; Arthropoda; Insecta; Hymenoptera; Colletidae. The transcript has 4 exons.
CACGCUGUUAAUGAAUUAAAGAAUUUAUCAGUGUUUUUGGUGCAAUUUCGGAUAAUUUUAUGUGCAAAACAUGUAAACGAAAGCAAACAUUUGGAGAAGCAGGCAAUCUGAUUCUAGGAAGAUCUGUUCUAUGGCCCUGGAAUCGCAUACUAGUAAAAAACUGCGAUCAUUUUUGGAACCUGUACGCUGCACGGCGCAUUUACAAAAUGCCAUUUUCAAGCCGCCAUUGUACCGUUGUUAUUAACAAUUAAAGUUUUAAAAAAAUAUUCAUGUUACAUUAUAAUAUUAAUAAAUGAU